UGGCGAGUGGCGAACGGGUGAGUAACAUAUCGGAACGUACCGGGUAGCGGGGGAUAACUGAUCGAAAGAUCAGCUAAUACCGCAUACGUCUUGAGAGGGAAAGCAGGGGACCUUCGGGCCUUGCGCUAUCCGAGCGGCCGAUAUCUGAUUAGCUGGUUGGCGGGGUAAAGGCCCACCAAGGCGACGAUCAGUAGCGGGUCUGAGAGGAUGAUCCGCCACACUGGGACUGAGACACGGCCCAGACUCCUACGGGAGGCAGCAGUGGGGAAUUUUGGACAAUGGGCGCAAGCCUGAUCCAGCCAUGCCGCGUGUCUGAAGAAGGCCUUCGGGUUGUAAAGGACUUUUGUCAGGGAAGAAAAGGCCGUUGCCAAUAUCGGCGGCCGAUGACGGUACCUGAAGAAUAAGCACCGGCUAACUACGUGCCAGCAGCCGCGGUAAUACGUAGGGUGCGAGCGUUAAUCGGAAUUACUGGGCGUAAAGCGGGCGCAGACGGUUACUUAAGCAGGAUGUGAAAUCCCCGGGCUCAACCCGGGAACUGCGUUCUGAACUGGGUGACUCGAGUGUGUCAGAGGGAGGUGGAAUUCCACGUGUAGCAGUGAAAUGCGUAGAGAUGUGGAGGAAUACCGAUGGCGAAGGCAGCCUCCUGGGAUAACACUGACGUUCAUGUCCGAAAGCGUGGGUAGCAAACAGGAUUAGAUACCCUGGUAGUCCACGCCCUAAACGAUGUCAAUUAGCUGUUGGGCAACUUGAUUGCUUGGUAGCGUAGCUAACGCGUGAAAUUGACCGCCUGGGGAGUACGGUCGCAAGAUUAAAACUCAAAGGAAUUGACGGGGACCCGCACAAGCGGUGGAUGAUGUGGAUUAAUUCGAUGCAACGCGAAGAACCUUACCUGGUUUUGACAUGUGCGGAAUCCUCCGGAGACGGAGGAGUGCCUUCGGGAGCCGUAACACAGGUGCUGCAUGGCUGUCGUCAGCUCGUGUCGUGAGAUGUUGGGUUAAGUCCCGCAACGAGCGCAACCCUUGUCAUUAGUUGCCAUCAUUCGGUUGGGCACUCUAAUGAGACUGCCGGUGACAAGCCGGAGGAAGGUGGGGAUGACGUCAAGUCCUCAUGGCCCUUAUGACCAGGGCUUCACACGUCAUACAAUGGUCGGUACAGAGGGUAGCCAAGCCGCGAGGCGGAGUCAAUCUCACAAAACCGAUCGUAGUCCGGAUUGCACUCUGCAACUCGAGUGCAUGAAGUCGGAAUCGCUAGUAAUCGCAGGUCAGCAUACUGCGGUGAAUACGUUCCCGGGUCUUGUACACACCGCCCGUCACACCAUGGGAGUGGGGGAUACCAGAAGUAGGUAGGGUAACCGCAAGGAGCCC
RNAcentral lists this ribosomal RNA (1364 nucleotides) under Neisseria gonorrhoeae. Its description in RNAcentral is "bacterial SSU rRNA". It matches the Rfam family "Bacterial small subunit ribosomal RNA", at positions 89 to 1451 of the family's 1533-position model. The record is from RNAcentral. Lineage: Bacteria; Pseudomonadati; Pseudomonadota; Betaproteobacteria; Neisseriales; Neisseriaceae.